AUAGCGCUUGUUAACCCACUCGAGCAAUCUAAAGGUUUUACUAUAGAAAUAUAUAGGGAAGCUGUACCAUUCUAUAUCGUUCUAUAGAUACGAGACUUGUUAUCACGAAAACUGUCAGGUCGGCUACUCAUGCGGAUCGGAUUUAACGUUACUUUACGUUAGCUGAGCUAAUAAUGCUGCUAGAUAGCUGUUAUCAAGACUUCAUUGAUAACAGAUGACUUUAAAUCGCACGACUCGCAUAAUCAAGCAAACAAAUAUUUUAUAUUCGACCCAGUGGGUUCUUUGAAGUUUCCGCGUACAAGAGUGACAAAUUUUAUUUUUUUUUACAUAAAAAUUUAAUCACACAGAUCGAGCUGUAUGCUUUGUAUAUGAUAAGCUUGGAUCGGGGCAGGUCAGGAUUUCAAGUGUUUCUGUCAAUUUGUUUCUAUACGUGUAAAGGGUUACUGUACUAAAUCAAAUAGUAUGGAGAUCAAUGUACGGAGGUGUGUAUGAAUGAAGAUAAUAAAAUGAUAAUAAUUAAUGAUCGUCUUGACGCGAGACAAAGUCCCUGAAAGAAAUUUAAGAAACCAGUAUGGAAUUCCCAUUAAACAAGGAUCCACCAUGGAAGCUGUAUUAUAUCAAAGCAUCACUUCUGAUUGUCACUUAACGAGAAAUCGCCUUUGGGCAAACUGUUACUGCAUCGCCAUCAAGUGUUGAGCCACACGCCUCCUCUUCAAUCUGCAAUCGUUGGACGAGCCUUGCGUCGACUUUUGGCAUGGGAUACUGAAUAAGCCGAGUCCACACGUAACGAAACAACUUUACGAGAGCGGAUAGUUGCGUUGAGGAUAUAAAGCAAGCGCUUCGCGUAUAACUUACAAUCAGCCAGGAGGAGUCUGGCUGACUCGUGUCUUCCCAUCAACUGCAGCGACCGUCUCCAGCAUCCGGACUGCAUCGAGUUUACCUUGGUCGCAUCAACGCUACGGGGUGCGAAUUGCAGGAACAAAACGAUGAGUUAAUUAAACUCGAUGAAGCGUCGACUGAGCUAUUAAAUCUGUACACUGAAGAUUCCUACGUGUGAGAAUCUUGAAUCUCGAAGCAAGCCUAUCGGCAGUGCUUUCAUUAGCGUAUCUUCGCUCCUGAUGCAUCUGCGUGACUGGUGCAGGUCGAGGCGUCCAGUUCACGAAGGAGAAAUAGUUAAUAUCAAGGAUAACGAAGAGCUUUAAUAAAGCACUGCCUUAAGGUGGUCGGUGUCGUUAAACGCGAGCGACGGACCUGUAAGUAGACAGAAGCAAAGCAACGAGUGAAGCGCGACAAUAGAUACGCGGCAGCGAGUACAAUGGUACAUUGUAAAUCAAGGCAUUUUAAAAAUCUGACAGGAUAUAUGUUGACUCGACCUCGUAUAUCGUAUCACACACGGGCGGCAGUGUUGCCCAUUAAAUACAGCAUUAUGCUACCCGACGACCGGCCAACUUCAGGCACGUAAUGGUAAUUGCUGGGAUGUAUAACGAGGACCAUUUUCGGCAAGUUGCCAUUCAGCCAAUCCACCUCCUACAAAUCCACUUUGUUUUCCUCUUUCUCAACUAGAGAUCCGCGUGAGAAUUCGCUAAGUUCUCGUUACCAAUCCUUAUCCAAGAUCUGAGAAGGGUCACUCGCCAAAGUUACGUCAAACAGCCCAUAGGAAUUUUAAAAAAAUGCUAAAUUCUACGAAACGGCCUAUGAAGAAUUCUGAGAAAACAAACAUACCUCUACCUCACGCAUGUUCAUCCCUCUUGAAUUUUCGCUCUCGCGUAAAGUACCGUCCCUUCCCUCCUUCUUCCCCUGAUCAAUCGUUCCUUCGUUACCUAUACCACGUAGGUUCUUUCGUUCCCGUGGAAAUUUUCACGAGCGCCCUGGAGCCAACGUCAUAAAUACACCCAUUGGCGCGGCCACUUGCAUAUUAUUAUUGACAGUUAAGAAUGAGGAGGGGCUCCUCACGAGGCUUUAGCCUACGAUGCAGCCCGCAAUUACGCAUAGUAAUAAAAUCCCACGGCCGUGGUCUAGCCAAUAAAUAGUAGAAUGCGAGCAUACAUGCAUAUAAAGAGUGGGAGAGAGGGAGAGACAGAGAGAGGCGGAAGGUGGAAGGUGGGAAAGAAGGUGCCGAGGAGUGGGUGUGUUAAGCUGCUAGGAUCUUAACUGCACAUGGACACGCGACAGACUCUCCUGCAAUUGCGUAAAAACUCGGAACAGUACACGGUACCCACUAAGUCUCUCGUCGCUUUAACAAUAAUAGGUAUACAUAUAUGCAUCCACGUAUGGUACGUAUACGUACCUAUCAAUUUGACAGAUAAACUUUUAAAGCUCUUUUUACAUCUUCCCAAGCUUUUUUUUCUACUUCUCGGAUCUUUAGACUCUUCGUAAAACUGCGUAUACGGGGACUCGGACAUUAGUGUGUAAACCAGUCAUUAGAGCAGCUGACCUAAACAGGAUACGCUUACCAAUUUCUAAUGCAGGUUAAUCGUAAAUCUAUCGGCGACAGCAUGACCAAAGUAGUCUGUAUAUCGGUGAUCAUAAGCGAGAGGUAGUUAAUGGCUGACUAAUAUAUGUAUACCGAUUAUUAACCGCGAUUGCGAUCGCCGAUUUAAUACGAAAUUAUUGAUAUAACGCUAACCAUGUAUCUCUAGUCUGUCGCAGUUUUGCUCUCGUUCUUUCGUUUGUGUUUAAAGUGCCUGCCGAGUUUAAAUCAAGUCAAUUCCGAAAUGAAGUUUACUGGGUUAAUUAACGAAGGGCGAGAGUUCCUCAGUGGGAACUACUGGGAAGUUAAUCCAACGCACUUUGUAAUCCAGGAUUCGCGGGAAAGUUGCCCUUUACGAAUCCGAACCCUGUCCUUACUGCUGUACGGCGUUUUAUCGCGAACAAAAUUGAACGCUAUAUCACCUUUGGCUGUGAAUAAAUUGUAAUAUCGAUUGAACGUAUUACGUAGAGGGAAGAUGAAAAUUGCUGCAGUAUCUUAUAAAUCUACAUUGUGAGAAACCCUGGAGGAGUUGCAAGUUAGAAAUCCUAACGCUAACAAGAGGUUACGUUUAGGGGGCAGUAAGCAGUAAUGUAUUCCAGUGGAGUAGUGAAGCAUGCAUAUUCGAGAUAUAUUAUAAAUAAUUACUCAAUUAUAUCUUUGGAAAGGUAAUGAAUAAAGAUGGCAGGGUUGCGGGAGAGGAGAGAGGGUGGGGCAGGCUAAUAAAAAAAAACUUGCGUUGAAUAUUCAAACGCAACAAACUAGGUACACGAACGUCGGAAGGGGUGCAGGAUGAGCUUAUUUCAAAUGGAGAUCCAUAUUACAACCACUCCUUAACCGAAGGAACUUCUGUUUUCGGAUUUACGAUUUUAACCCGAGACAUUCCUAUCUCAAUAGCGUAUAAGAUUUUCGGGAUAUUCUACAGGCAGGCGGUGUACCUAUAUAUACGGUGGCGAAACGCAAACCGAUUUCUCAUUCGAGCAAUUCAAUUUCUGGCAGGGAUUCGCAGAAAUUUAGCGAAACGAUUCGUCCUGCCCUCUCCCACCUCGAUAGGACGUACCCAUAAGUGGGGCCUGGUAUUUAUUUUAUAUAUUUCUCAUCGCCACUUUGUUCUGCCGGUUUACAGAAAAAUUCUCUCUUUAUUACGAUAUAAAUUUCUUCGGCGGACGCGAUAACUAUAAAAUAUUACGUAAAUGAUUGCCUCCGUGGACACUGGGCAGCCUUUGCCUCCUUUUCCGCGCAAGAUAAUACGCCGCGAAAUUUACGAGGCAUUAUUUUCGCCGCUGUAGAAAUCCGACUCUUCUCUGGGAUAGGCUGCUAUUUCUUGGUGCCGAGUGCCGUUGUACAGCGUGAAACGUCACAAAUUUGCGUGCGGACCUUCCCUACUACCGGUAGGAUAAAAAUGGAAAUAAAAAAAAAAAGAAAAAUAAAAGGAUUCUUUCACAAGGCUAUUUUGCCUCUCGUAGGUACUGUUAUUCUUGUGAAAAAAUCUACUCUCGAGAUUUUCGCGUUUUAUCGGGUAGACUGAAAAAUAAAUAUUUCAUCGCACCCUACUUCUCCUUCCUGGGACACUGCGAUAUUUUCAUAAGAUGGAAAACUAAGCGCGUUCGACGUUUCUGCCCGAGAGAUUUUCUGCAUGCAUAGGUCCCCUACGCCGGACAUGAUUGGCUUCUGAUAGAAUUACGAAGGGUGGACCCCCACCUAUCCACCCUUGUAUCCUUCCCGUCUUUCGGUCGGUAUAGGGAGGGUUCCACAUUGACUGGGAUGGGAGGAUCCAGUACAGAACAAAGACCACUCAACGACGAUACACUCAACCCUGCAGUAUCUUCGUAUCAAAUGAAACAAAAUUUAUUUUUUAUUAUCCCACCACACGGUAUCGGAGAAUCGAUGAAGGAUUUUUAAUGAUAAAAAAAUUUAUUAAAAAAUAAAAAAACAUUAAACCUACAAUAAGACGGACAACGUCGAAAAAAAAUAAUCUCGAGUAUAAUUGAAAGCUGGGGAAUUUGGAGAAAUAGAGAAAUACUAUGCGUAACGCAGUAAAGCCGUAGAGGGUUUGUAAGAUGGACUCGAUUUCUAUUCUACCGGAUGUGACAGACGGCAGGAACGUACCUAACACGGUAGAGCGAGGGUUCUCUUGACGAAUAGGGGUUGGCGAAAUUGAAAGACUCGAGCGGGCGUUUAUGCCAAUUUCCUUCGCCAUAAGUUCAUAAUUUUAUUGGCAAUUUGCGAGCCAUUACGCAGCCUGCCGCGCGCUCGCGACACACGCGCUACGAACUUAACGCGGGUUGCGCGCGUGCCCUGGUGUGCGUUUGCGUUACGUUCCGUUGGGUUGAGUUGCGUAGCGUCACUCGGUUUUAGGGUUAUGACCGAAAACGUAAUCUUCCUACGGAUGAAUUUACGAGUAGCAUUACGCUGAUUUGAUGACGCCAUCGAACGAAAGGUUUACCCUAUUCAUAUUCGUAUGUCUCCCUUUUACCAAUUACGAUCGAAAGGCCAACCGGUAUGCAAACCAAUCACCGGUCGCGCGUAAUCAUGACAACUGAUAACAAUUAUACGAAUUAAGGACGCAUUUUAUUCGAGUCCGGACGUCUCUCUGUAAUAAAAAAAAAC
Cephus cinctus (wheat stem sawfly) is the source of this 5077-nucleotide long non-coding RNA. RefSeq lists it as uncharacterized. NCBI's taxonomy places the organism in Eukaryota, Metazoa, Arthropoda, Insecta, Hymenoptera, Cephidae. The transcript is spliced from 4 exons. The record is from RefSeq and is a predicted model, not a curated record.